This 490-nucleotide ribosomal RNA is filed under the name uncultured bacterium. RNAcentral's name for it is "partial 16S ribosomal RNA". It matches the Rfam family "Bacterial small subunit ribosomal RNA", at positions 29 to 507 of the family's 1533-position model. The record is from RNAcentral.
AUUGAACGCUGGCGGCAUGCCUUACACAUGCAAGUCGAACGGCAUCGCGGGAAAGCUUGCUUUCCUGGCGGCGAGUGGCGAACGGGUGAGUAACACAUCGGAACGUACCGGCUAGUGGGGGAUAACCCGUCGAAAGACGGGCUAAUACCGCAUACGCUCUUCGGAGGAAAGCAGGGGACCUUUGGGCCUUGCGCUAGCCGAGCGGCCGAUGUCCGAUUAGCUAGUUGGUGGGGUAAAGGCCUGCCAAGGCGACGAUCGGUAGCGGGUCUGAGAGGACGAUCCGCCACACUGGGACUGAGACACGGCCCAGACUCCUACGGGAGGCAGCAGUGGGGAAUCUUGGACAAUGGGGGCAACCCUGAUCCAGCAAUGCCGCGUGGGUGAAGAAGGCCUUCGGGUUGUAAAGCCCUUUCGGCAGGGAAGAAAUCGGCGGGGCGAAUAACCCUGCUGGAUGACGGUACCUGCAGAAGAAGCACCGGCUAACUACGUG